Molecule: long non-coding RNA, 2183 nt
Filed under: Panax ginseng (ginseng)
Lineage: Eukaryota; Viridiplantae; Streptophyta; Magnoliopsida; Apiales; Araliaceae
Description: long non-coding RNA (PGIN_LNC000640)
Source: RNAcentral
UUCCCCAGGUACGUGACCUUCAAAUACAUUCCUUACAAUACUUGAAUAGAUACCAAUACAACUAUAACCAUUAACUCAUAAUACACACUUAUUCGAUCAGCUUUCCUUUUCCUUUGCUCGUGCCUGAGCCUUCAGGUUGCUCAUACAUAACUGAAAACAUUUAAUUUAAGCAAGGAUGAGCAUUUAAGUGCCCAACAAGUAAUAGCAAUUAUAUAUAAGCUGAAAAAAUAUAAGUAUUCACUUUACAUAACACUUCUACAAUGAAUUGAAAGUUGUGAAGUAAUCUGUACUGAUAAAAAAUUCACAUAACAACUCUCUUUCAAAUUCUUUAAAUUUGGCUCUGGCUCUACCCUUGAAUAGGGUUUAAGAAACAUACUAUGAACAUUCUUUUCAUUUUCGAAAAGGUUUAGCGGAAUUCUAUCCUCAAACCGUCAUAACUUACGGGCACGGAGGGUGAUCAGCCCCGUUGUACCCUGUAUUGAUCAAUACUACAUAACUUGAACGAAAUUCAUCGCUCACUCUAUCCGCCUUGCGCAAAAAUCUUCCCAUAUAGGGAUGUUCAUACAUGCCUGGUUCCAAACCCGAAGGUUUUUAAUCUUGCUCAACAAUAAUAUGUAAUUCAACAUAUAUAUACGGGUAAUUGACAAAGGUGUAUCAACAUGUGAACAAAUGCCAUGAUUAUCCAAGUGGGGACACUUGUAUAACCAUUUAUAGAAAUCAAUGAACAGAAUAUAUAUCUGAGCUAACAUGUCGAUAAUCAAAGAGUACAUAAUCUGUACAGGGAUAGAAUAAUUCUGAAACUUCUUACUCAUGUCCAUUGCAUAAAGGAAGUGCAAAGGUAGGAUACUUGCCUGAUUCGCUGAUUACAAAUCUCAACUUAGGUUUUAUCUCUUUAUCACAACCUAUCAAUAAUCAGAUCAUUCGUUCGAUUAGAACAAUAUAUCUUAACACAUAGUACUGUCUAUUACAGUCAGCACAUAGUCUAAUCACAUAAUCACAGUGAUCAUACUUUUAGUUCCUAUUCUAUACUUGAAAUAUUUUUAUACAUUUUUCAAAUAUCUCAUCCAUGCUCUUACAGUAGUCUUUUCUUUCUUUUAUAAGGUCUGACAUUUGUCGGCGUACCGACAGCUUUAUCGGGUAAAUACUGAGUCUAAGACUCUUAUUCUAUACCUCAACAUCUGUAAAUAUCAGACAUCUUAUUUUUAAUCAUUUUCGCAAUUUCCAGAAAUUGAAAAAUUUAAAAUAAUUCAAAUCUGUCACUAAAGGGCCUAUAGUGAUAUAACUGUUACUAUAGGUGUUCUUCUUCAAAUUCAGAACUUCAUAAUCGGUUCUCAAGUCAGCUAGUUUGGCCGGCUAUAACUUUCAAAUAUCGGAAUCAUAAUUAAAUGAUUUAAACAUUAAACAAUUCCAUUAUCAUUAAUAGUUUAAUUAAUACUAAACUAUUAAUGAAACCAUUGCCAAAAUAUAAAAGUUAUUUAUAAUAACUCAAACUAUUUUUAAAACAUUUAUAUUACCCAAAUAAUUACCAUUAAUAUUUAAAUAUUAAUGUACUAUUUAUCCAAAUAUUAAAAGUCAUUAAUUAUAACUUAAAAUAUUUUUAAAUCCUUAAUAUCCUCUUUAAAUGGUUUUUAAAUAAGUAAAACCAUUUUUAAACUAUUUAUUUAAUAUUAAUCAUUAAAUAAACUAAAUAUCAUUAAUAUUAUCUUAAUAUCAUUAAUAUUUAAUUAUUAAUGAAAUUAUCAUUUAAAUAUUAAAAGUUAUAUUUUAUAACUUAAAAUAUUUUUAAAUACCUUAUUUUCAUUUAAAAUGAUUUUUAUAAUAUUAAAAUCAUUUUUAAACUAAAUUAUUUAAUAUAAUCAUUAAAUAACUUUAAUAUCAUUAAUAAUUAUUAAUUAAUGAAAUUCAUCACAAAAUAUUAAAAGUCAUCACAAAUAACUCAUUUACAUAAUCAAUUCCAAGCCAAAAUAAACAUAGUAAACUAACUAGUUUAUUAACAACACUAACUAAACUUCAAAAAUUCAAACUUUAACUAACAAUUAAAAAUAAUAACAUUACAAAAAUUAAAUAAGAAACAUACCCGGAAAUACGAAUUCCACAGACUGAAUACGCACUUCCACGCCAAAAUUUAACUAAGGAGAUCUUUAUAAAAAGUUCUCCCACAACAAAGCCUUUCUCAAAAAUUG